This 466-nucleotide ribosomal RNA is filed under the name uncultured bacterium. Its description in RNAcentral is "partial 16S ribosomal RNA". It matches the Rfam family "Bacterial small subunit ribosomal RNA", at positions 28 to 507 of the family's 1533-position model. The record is from RNAcentral.
GAUGAACGCUGGCGGCGUGCUUAACACAUGCAAGUCGAACGGAAAGGCCCCUGCUUGCAGGGGUACUCGAGUGGCGAACGGGUGAGUAACACGUGGGUGAUCUGCCCUGCACUUCGGGAUAAGCCUGGGAAACUGGGUCUAAUACCGGAUAGGACGAUGGUUUGGAUGCCAUUGUGGAAAGUUUUUUCGGUGUGGGAUGAGCUCGCGGCCUAUCAGCUUGUUGGAGGGGUAAUGGCCUACCAAGGCGUCGACGGGUAGCCGGCCUGAGAGGGUGUACGGCCACAUUGGGACUGAGAUACGGCCCAGACUCCUACGGGAGGCAGCAGUGGGGAAUAUUGCACAAUGGGCGCAAGCCUGAUGCAGCGACGCCGCGUGGGGGAUGACGGCCUUCGGGUUGUAAACUCCUUUCGCUAGGGACGAAGCGCAAGUGACGGUACCUGGAGAAGAAGCACCGGCUAACUACGUG